Molecule: transfer RNA, 26 nt
Filed under: Physacanthus batanganus
Lineage: Eukaryota; Viridiplantae; Streptophyta; Magnoliopsida; Lamiales; Acanthaceae
Description: partial tRNA-Leu
Source: RNAcentral
AAAAGGUUCAAGUCCCUCUAUCCCCA